Molecule: ribosomal RNA, 883 nt
Filed under: Planctomycetes bacterium SCGC AAA240-E07
Lineage: Bacteria; Pseudomonadati; Planctomycetota
Description: SSU rRNA
Rfam family: Bacterial small subunit ribosomal RNA
Source: RNAcentral
CGACGUUGGCGGCGUGGAUGAGGCAUGCAAGUCGCGCGCGAAAGCAUCCUUCGGGAUGUGAGUAGAGCGGCGGACGGGUGAGUAACACGUAAUCAAGCUGCCCCAGAGAUUGGAAUAACCGCGGGAAACUGCGGCUAAUACCAAAUAGUCAGGUAGGAACGCAUGUUCCAGCCUGUAAAUGAAGGGGAUCCUACGGGACCCAUUGCUCUGGGAGGCGAUUGCGGCCUAUCAGCUUGUUGGUGAGGUAACGGCUCACCAAGGCAUCGACGGGUAGCAGGCCUGAGAGGGUGGCCUGUCACACUGGGACUGAGACACUGCCCAGACUCCUACGGGAGGCUGCAGUCGAGAAUCUUCCGCAAUGGACGAAAGUCUGACGGAGCGACGCCGCGUGGAGGACGAAGGCCCUUGGGUUGUAAACUCCUGUCACGGGUUAUGAAUGGCGUAUCGUUAAUAGCGCUACGAUUGACGUAAGCCCGAGAGGAAGCACCGGCUAACUCUGUGCCAGCAGCCGCGGUAACACAGAGGGUGCAAACGUUGUUCGGAAUUACUGGGCAUAAAGCGCGCGUAGGCGGUCACGUAAGUGUGGAGUGAAAUCCCACGGCUCACCCGUGGAACUGCUUUGCAUACUGCGUGACUAGAGUGCGGUAGGGGAGAGCGGAACUCCUGGUGGAGCGGUGAAAUGCGUAGAUAUCAGGAGGAACACCGGUGGCGAAGGCGGCUCUCUGGGCCGUAACUGACGCUGAGGCGCGAAAGCCAGGGUAGCGAACGGGAUUAGAUACCCCGGUAGUCCUGGCCGUAAACGAUGGGCACUAACUAGAGGGCCUUCCUGUGGGAUCUCUGGUGAAGCAAAUGUGAUAAGUGCCCCGCCUGGGGAGUAUGUCGC